Molecule: long non-coding RNA, 397 nt
Filed under: Struthio camelus australis
Lineage: Eukaryota; Metazoa; Chordata; Aves; Struthioniformes; Struthionidae
Description: lncRNA (ENSSCUG00000010797.1)
Source: RNAcentral
CACAAAAGUAGCCUGUGGCUGCCAUGCUAACCUCUGGGAUAUUUUUUCUUCUGUGCCAGUAAUGAUUCGUUAGAAUGAACUAAACUGAUGCAAGUUCCCAGCAGGACUAGACGCUUUUCCUGAUGAGGCAGAAAUGAGAUGUGAACCCUCUGUCAGCUGUGUGGAAGGGCUGGGCUUCAAGCAAGAUUUAGGUAUUAGGGAGUGUUGGACAAUGUUGGUUCCCAACAGGGAAUUUGAGAUCCUUAUUGCUUGGAUGUUUUUCCUAGGACCUCUAAGCAAAAUUGUUACGGACAGAAAUAAUCACAUUGUGAUAUAAAGUCACAGUAAGUGAACAGAAUACUGACCACUACUGAGAAUAACCUGAAUUUAUUUCUGGACUCACUCCCUACCAAAUAGG